Molecule: transfer RNA, 87 nt
Filed under: Pseudomonadales bacterium
Lineage: Bacteria; Pseudomonadati; Pseudomonadota; Gammaproteobacteria; Pseudomonadales
Description: tRNA-Val
Rfam family: tRNA
About the family: Transfer RNA (tRNA) molecules are approximately 80 nucleotides in length.
Source: RNAcentral
GCCCAGAUGGUCAAAUUGGUAGACACGCCAGCUUCACGUGCUGGUGACCGUAUGGUCGUGGAAGUUCCAGUCUUCUUCUGGGCACCA